AUGAACCCGCGCUACAAAACCCUCCCCAAAUCCUACAAAGCCCGAAGCUUCCUCCGCAGAUCCAACCAAACCCUCGUCAAAUCCUUUGCCUCCUCGGCCCCAGCCGCGUCGAGCGCACUGCCCCACACCGACGCGCUCGCGGAGCUCGUGCAGGCCACCCGUUCGGCGAAAUGCCUCCGCAGGCUCCACGCGCUGCUGGCCGUCUCGGGCACGAUCAACCGGGACACCUCCGCCGUCACGGCCGCCGUCGAGGGGUACCUCUCCCUCGGCAUGCCGGGCGCCGCGGCCUCGGUGUUCGCCGGAUCCCACCGCCGCCGCCCCACGGUGUACUCGCUCAACCUCGCCGUCCGCUGCUUCUCGGCCCACGGGUUCCACCGGGAGCUACUCGAGAUGUACAGGAGGGCGUGCGUCUUCGGCGGCUCUGACAACUUCACGUUCCCGCCGGUCAUCAAGGCGUGCACGGCCGUGGGCUGCCUUCGCCUCGGGAGGGAGGCGCACGGCAGGGUCCUGCGGGAUGGGCACGGGGCCAAUGUCGGCGUGCAGACCGCACUGCUUGACAUGUACGCCAAGGCUGGCUGGGUUGGCGCGUCCAGGAAGGUCUUUGACUGCAUGGCGCAGAGGGACUUGAUUUCCUGGAACGCGCUGAUCUCAGGGUAUUCUCUGAAUGGGUGCUUCAGAGAAGCUGUCGAGGCUAUGAGGGAGAUGCAGGAGGACGGCAUGAGGCCGAACGCUAGCACUUUUGUUGCCGCUAUCGGUGUGUGCAGUGCCGUUGCAGAUUCGGAUGCCGGUGAUUCGCUGCAUGCGUUUGCACUGAAAUGUGGGGUGCUUGGUGAUGAGUCCCUUGCGCCUGCAUUCAUCUCAAUGUACGCCGCAUUCAAUGAUCUUUCUUCGUCGCGGUUGCUCUUUGAUCUGCAACCUGUGAAGGAUUCGGUGUCUUACAAUUCCAUGAUCUCAGCGUACAUGCAGCAGGACAAAUGGAAGGAAUCAUUUGAGGUCUUCAGGUUGAUGCGUUGCGCAGGACUAGGGCCUAAUCUGGUAACAGUGGUAUCUGUCCUUCCAACCUGCAGUGACUUUUUUGGUGUAUGCGUCGGCGAAUCUGUGCAUGGCAUGGUUAUCAAGUUUGGCCUAGCAGAGCAGAUUUCUGUUGUCAGCGCUCUUGUUUCCAUGUAUUCUAAACUUGGGGAGUUGGAUUCAGCUGUGCAGCUUUUCUGUAGUUGUACCGGAAAGAACCAUCUUCUGUGGAACUCCAUAAUUUCUGGGUACAUUUUGAACAACGAAUGGCACACUGCUCUUGAUACAUUCCGCAGGAUGCAAACCGAAGGUGUUGCAGCCGAUGCAACAACUGUUAUUAAGGUCAUCUCCGGGUGCAGGCACAUAAAAGAUUUACGUUUGGCAAAGUCCAUCCAUGGAUAUGCUGUGAGAAACAGUUUUGAGUUGAACCAAAGCGUGAUGAAUGCACUCCUGGCUAUGUACGGUGACUGUGGAGAACUCUCAAAUUCAUACAAGUUAUUUCAGAAAAUGGAAGUACCUAUGUUGAUAUCUUGGAACACGAUAAUAUCUGGCUAUGCUGAAGCUGGAGAUGCAGAGGCUUGUGUAAGACUCUUCCGCCAGAUGCGCCAAGCAGACUUGCAGUUUGAUGUAGUAACCCUGAUUGGCCUUACCAGCAGUAUUUCGGUGGCUGAGGAUGCCACAAUUGGAGAAUCACUUCAUUCUUUGGCAGUUAAAAGUGGAUGCAGUACAGAUGUUUCUCUUACACACACCCUCAUUACCAUGUACAGCAGCUGUGGUUCUGUUCAGGCAUGCCAGCGACUCUUUGACAGCUUGUCUUCUGUGAACACAGUCUCUUACAAUGUUCUGAUGACUGGAUACCGUAAAAACAACCUAUCUGAAGAGAUCUUACCUUUGUUUUAUGAAAUGGUAAAGAAUGAGAAGGAGCCAAAUCAUAUUACAUUACUGAAUGUAUUGCCUGUUUGUCAGAGUCAGUUGCAAGGAAAGUCUGUCCACUGCUAUGCAGUUCGAAAUUUCUUCAGGCUAGAAACCCCUAUGCUCACAUCAGCCAUUUGUAUGUACAGUAGGUUCAACAAUUUUGAUUACAGCUGCAAACUCUUCAAUUCGGUUGGUGAAAAAAACAUCAUAGUAUGGAAUUGCAUCUUAUCUGCCUGUGUUCAGUGCAAGCUGGCUGAUAUUGCAUUUGAUUUCUUCAGGCAGAUGUGCUUCCUUAAUGUGAAUCCUGAUGCAGUAACCAUGUUGUCACUCAUCUCAGCAUGUUCGCAGAUUGGAACAGGAGAUUUGGCAGAAUGUGUUACAGCUCUCUUACUAAAGAAUGGCUUUGGUGGAAGCCUUUUUGUUGUCAAUGCUCUCAUUGACAUGCAUUCAAGGUGUGGAAGCAUUUCAUUUGCAAGAGAGCUCUUUGAUAGCUCAGGGGCAAAAGAUUCUGUUACUUGGAGUGCAAUGAUCAACUCAUAUGGUUUACAUGGGGAUGGCAAGUCUGCCCUUGACAUUUUCUCCAUGAUGAUAGCCUCAGGAGUGGAGCCAGAUGAUGUAACUUUUGUUAGUAUCUUGUCAGCUUGCAGUCAUAGUGGCCUUGUAGAGCAAGCAAGAUCCUUGUUUAAAUCACUACAGAUAGACUACGGCAUCACACCGAGGAUGGAGCAUUAUGCAUGCAUGGUGGAUCUGCUAGGUCGAACUGGCCACUUGGAUGGAGCCUAUGAUGUUGUCGGGUCAAUGCCAUUCAGACCAUCAGAAAGUUUGCUUGAGUCAUUGCUUGGAGCCUGUAGAUUCCAUGGAAAUUCCAAAAUUGGUGAGGCUGUGGGGAAAUUGCUCAUUGACUCUGACCACAGUAAUCCACGGUCUUAUGUCAUGCUUUCUAACAUCUAUGCUUCAGUUGGUAAAUGGAAUGACUAUGAGUGGCUGCGGUUAGAUAUGGAAGGAAAAGGGUUGAGGAAAGAUGUGGGAAUCAGUUUGAUUGAGUAG
This 2973-nucleotide ribosomal RNA is filed under the name Triticum aestivum (bread wheat). Its description in RNAcentral is "partial small subunit ribosomal RNA". The record is from RNAcentral. Lineage: Eukaryota; Viridiplantae; Streptophyta; Magnoliopsida; Poales; Poaceae.